This 806-nucleotide long non-coding RNA is filed under the name Equus caballus (horse). RNAcentral's name for it is "lncRNA (ENSECAG00000049849.1)". Lineage: Eukaryota; Metazoa; Chordata; Mammalia; Perissodactyla; Equidae. The record is from RNAcentral.
UCACCAUGCCCUGUGGAGGGAUUAUUGCAGGGGAGGACGUAGGGCGUGUCUCGGGCAUGAGGCGGGGCGGCUGACUCAACUCUGAAGACAGAGAGGUGGGUGUUCCCAGAUGUGGUGCCGCUGAGCCCCUGCUGCCUAGCGUGUGGUCCUCGGACCAGCAGCAUCAGCAUUGCUGGCAGCCGGGGUCAUGGUCCAUGAUCCAUUCAAACCCCGCUCGCGAAUCCCCACGGAGCACCGGGAGCAUCACACGCAGGUGGAUUAGAAUCGCCGUCAGCGUCUACGUGUCAGCUUCGCAGUCACCGCCCGAGGCCUCGUACCAGCGCUCAGCACCAGUCCCCCACGAGCUGAGCUGGCCACAGCCAAGAGCCCCGCCAGACACGGGGGAUUUGCUGGAGUGGGUGAAAGGGUCCGGGUCCCGCCCAAGGUGAGCAGACUCCCGGGAACAGCGAGCUGUGUGGAGUCUGGACGUCAGUCCCCAGCCAGGAGGGAGAGGCAGGAGCUUGUUGUUUUCAGGGUGGGCCCUAAAUCCAAUGACUGAAGUCCUUAUAAGAGGAGGAGACGGAGGCUUGAGACACAAAGGGACACAGAGAAAAGAAGGCCAUGUGGAGACAGAGGCAGAGACUGGAGUGAUGUGUCUACAAGCCAAGGAAGGUCAAGGAUCACUGGCAGCCACCAGAAGCCGAGAGAGAGGCUGGAACAGAUGCUCCCGCAGAGUGUCUGGAGGGAACCAGCCCUGCCAGCACCUUGAUCUCAGACUCCUGGCCUCCAGAACCAGGAGAGAAUAAAUUUGUGUUGUUUCAAGGCCC